RNAcentral lists this unclassified non-coding RNA (304 nucleotides) under Hevea brasiliensis (rubber tree). Lineage: Eukaryota; Viridiplantae; Streptophyta; Magnoliopsida; Malpighiales; Euphorbiaceae. The record is from RNAcentral.
GUAAACCUUGCCCUCUUGUUUAAAUUGGACAGGGAAGAUGCUUGGCCAUCAUGAUUCUCUCUCUUACCAUGUAAAGAAGCAGCACCAGAGCUCAUCGCAUCCGCAUAUGAAAGCAUCAUUUCUGGCGCAGCAGGAGAAGCUACUGAUGCAUUUAAAACUCCUGACCUAUGGUCCUGCAUGAUUCUUGGACUCACAACCCCCAUUGGAUACUUUGGUUGCUGAGAUACCGAAGGCGAUGCUGGAAUAGAGGUCUCAGACCCAAAACUGUUACUUCUUAGUGCCAACAUAUUGGUUGGUCCAUUAU